UCAACAUUCACGAAAAUCUGAUGGCGGCGGUGUUACGUGUUGUUGUUAUCCGUAAGCACCGUUUCGAGUCAUCCAUGUCGUUGCGAUUUGGUUAUUCUCUAGACCCGCUUUCAAACAAUUUAUUUCUGGAUUGCUCCGACGCUGCUGAAAUUAAUGUCUUAUCGUACGAGAUCGCCAAAUGAGUCAUUUCAGGUUAUUAGUUGGUGAUCCACGCUCUGAUAGGUGAUACUGGGUGGGAGUAAUCUGUCGUAUUCUAUUGAGUUAUGAAUUAAUUUAGAUUUUUUUUAAAUUUGAUCGAUCAAUUAUGUUAUUUUAAUCUUUUAUUCGGAUGUAGAAAUUAAUUGUCUCUAAGUUUAGAACGUGUUUUUAUGUCAGAAAAUUUUAUUUAAUAAACCUCAACUAUAUUUGAUAUUAAA
This is a long non-coding RNA of Cicer arietinum (chickpea), 416 nucleotides long. RefSeq lists it as uncharacterized. The record is from RefSeq and is a predicted model, not a curated record. NCBI's taxonomy places the organism in Eukaryota, Viridiplantae, Streptophyta, Magnoliopsida, Fabales, Fabaceae.